ACUCGGAGCUGCCAUGAGCUUCAUACUCCACGGCCGGACGACCGAAGCGUAGCGAAGAGAAGCAGCUUGCACGUAACAGGUAGGUCGCCUGAGGACUAGAUGAUCCCUUACGCGACUGCGGCGGAGGCGGAGGCGGCGCUGGGGCGCGCCAUGACAUGGGCGGAAGCUGUGUGGUAUCAGUACUCGGCGGCGAUGCCAGAUUCCUGGCUCCACUGCCUCACUACAUGUAUCCUCUUCGUCAUCUACACGAUCACACCGCUGCCCCUCCUAGUCCUCGAGCAGUUCGCUCCGUCCGUCGUGCUGCCGUACAAGCUGCAGCCCCGGGUACAGGUGCCGCUGGCAGCCUCCCUCCGCUGCUAUAUGGAAGCGGCGUUCGUCUUUCCCGUCGCCGUUGGCUUCCAGCUCGUCUCGUAUCCCGCCGCCGCCAAGAUACUGAGGACUCGAAUGGGACUGCCGUUGCCGUCCGUCAGGGAGACAGUUGCGCAGCUGGUGGUAUACUCUCUCUUGGAGGACUACCUCAGCUACUGGAUCCACCGUCUUCUGCACACCAAGUGGGGCUACGAGAAGAUCCACCGUGUCCACCAUGAGUUUACGGCUCCUACAGGCUUCGCCAUGUCAUACAGCCACUGGGCCGAGAACCUCCUCCUUUCCAUCCCCGCCUUGGCUGGCCCAGUCAUUGCGCCAUGCCACAUCACCACGCAGUGGCUCUGGUUCUCCAUCCGCCUAAUCGAGGGCAUUAACAUACACAGCGGUUACCACUUCCCAUUCAGCCCUUCCAAGUUGAUUCCCUUCUACGGAGGCGCUGCAUACCAUGACUAUCAUCACUACGCAGGAGGGCACAGUCAAAGCAACUUUGCCCCUCUUUUCACCUAUUGUGAUUAUUUAUAUAGGACAGACAAAAAAUCACGUCCAUCUGAUGUGAGUUGGUCCCUCUUUGUGUUUUUCUUCGAAACUAUGUUACCUUUUCACGGAGUUGUUACACUGUUUUCAUAGAAGUUGCUCAGAACAAGUAUUUUAGUAAGUUACAUGUAGUGUUACCACCAAAGAAUUCUAUAAUUACUGGUUCAUAAGACAUCAUCUAUAGGUCUCGUAUAUAUACUUAGGCCACCCAAGUAAAGCACAGUAAUACAAACUAAAAGCAAAACAACAAACUAAAGGCGAAAUAAAGUGUGGUUUCAAAGAUGUGAUCCUUUGAAUGUAGCCAUGCAUAUUGUGCCAUGUGUCCACCACAUAUCUGAAAGCACCAUGCUACCAAACAAGAAAGAGAUCAAACAGAUAGCAGUGUGUUAUUACCAAAUAAGACAAGCAGACGCAAAAAUUACAAUAUGACGAAACUUUUUUAAAGAUGAAUCUACAUAGUAUUUUCAAGUAUGUGUAAGAUGAAAUUUACCUAUGAGUAUUUAUUGUAUUUGCUGCAUAGUACUGUCACUCUCACACUAACUAUUGUUUAUUAUUUUGUUUUUUUCAGGGCUACAGAUACCACAAGUUAAAGCAAGCGAAGCUGAAGAGUCUGGAAGAAGAUAAUGUGGAGAAGAAAGGAGGCAGCACUGCGUUCUGCAACGGGAAAAAGGACUGAGAUAUUUUUGUGCCUGAAUAUUGGAUAUACGGAGAUUGUUACUAUUAUUACCAGCCCUGAUCGGAGGGGAGAUCCACAAAUAAAUAAUCUCAAUUUACUGCAGAGGGUCUUGAUUGAUCGACGCACAAAUGUACACUUGUGUAAUCUGUCUAGUGCUUUGUAUAUUGCAAUAAACCUAUGUUGUCUAAUUAUGUAAGAAAAUAUUAUGUCAACUUAUCCAAACUAACGUUCGAGCAGUGAA
Setaria italica (foxtail millet) is the source of this 1817-nucleotide RNA transcript. It is a transcript of the gene named methylsterol monooxygenase 1-1, with no coding region annotated. The record is from RefSeq and is a predicted model, not a curated record. Lineage: Eukaryota; Viridiplantae; Streptophyta; Magnoliopsida; Poales; Poaceae. The transcript is spliced from 6 exons.